Molecule: transfer RNA, 92 nt
Filed under: Catellatospora sp. TT07R-123
Lineage: Bacteria; Bacillati; Actinomycetota; Actinomycetes; Micromonosporales; Micromonosporaceae
Description: tRNA-Sec
Source: RNAcentral
CCCUGGCCGUCGCCGCCGUGGCGGCGGUCGCCUUCAGCGCGGCACUGGCCGCCCCGCACGAGCGGGCCGAUCUGGACGGCCGGUUCGGACCC